ACGGGGUGCAGCAGGCGCGAAAACUUUGCAAUGUGCGAAAGCACGACAAGGUUAAUCCGAGUGAUUUGUGCUAAACGAAUCUUUUGUUAGUUCUAGAAAUACUAACGAAUAAGGGGUGGGCAAGUUCUGGUGUCAGCCGCCGCGGUAAAACCAGCACCUCAAGUGGUCAGGAUGAUUAUUGGGCCUAAAGCAUCCGUAGCCGGCUCUGUAAGUUUUCGGUUAAAUCUGUACGCUUAACGUACAGGCUGCCGGGAAUACUGCAGAGCUAGGGAGUGGGAGAGGUAGACGGUACUCGGUAGGAAGGGGUAAAAUCCUUUGAUCUAUUGAUGACCACCUGUGGCGAAGGCGGUCUACCAGAACACGUCCGACGGUGAGGGAUGAAAGCUGGGGGAGCAAACCGGAUUAGAUACCCGGGUAGUCCCAGCUGUAAACUAUGCAAACUCAGUGAUGCAUUGACUUGUGGUCAAUGCAGUGCUGCAGGGAAGCCGUUAAGUUUGCCGCCUGGGAAGUACGUACGCAA
This 520-nucleotide ribosomal RNA is filed under the name uncultured archaeon. RNAcentral describes it as "bacterial SSU rRNA". It matches the Rfam family "Archaeal small subunit ribosomal RNA", at positions 325 to 846 of the family's 1478-position model. The record is from RNAcentral.